GGCUGGUCCAAUGGUAGUGGGUUAUCAGAACUUAUUAACAUUAGUGUCACUAAAGUUGGUGUACAACCCCCCACUGCUAAAUUUGACUGGCUUUAA
Y RNA from Callithrix jacchus (white-tufted-ear marmoset), 96 nucleotides. It matches the Rfam family "Y RNA". From Rfam's summary of the family: Y RNAs are components of the Ro ribonucleoprotein particle (Ro RNP), in association with Ro60 and La proteins. The record is from Ensembl. Lineage: Eukaryota; Metazoa; Chordata; Mammalia; Primates; Cebidae.